Sorghum bicolor (sorghum) is the source of this 109-nucleotide small nucleolar RNA. It matches the Rfam family "Plant small nucleolar RNA R71". From Rfam's summary of the family: R71 is a member of the C/D box family of snoRNAs containing the C (UGAUGA) and D (CUGA) box motifs. Multiple nearly identical copies of this snoRNA have been identified in Arabidopsis, and it is thought to function as a 2'-O-ribose methylation guide for 18S ribosomal RNA. Lineage: Eukaryota; Viridiplantae; Streptophyta; Magnoliopsida; Poales; Poaceae. The record is from Rfam.
AUCCCAUGAUGAGGACACUCGAGUAUGUAGUCUUGAAAGCGCUCUCAAGCUUCUGGGACUGUCUCAUCAUGUUGUUGCCAAAAACUUGAUAUCUUUCCAUAAAGAGCAU